This 72-nucleotide transfer RNA is filed under the name Thermoplasmata archaeon. RNAcentral's name for it is "tRNA-Thr". It matches the Rfam family "tRNA". From Rfam's summary of the family: Transfer RNA (tRNA) molecules are approximately 80 nucleotides in length. Their secondary structure includes four short double-helical elements and three loops (D, anti-codon, and T loops). The record is from RNAcentral. Lineage: Archaea; Methanobacteriati; Thermoplasmatota; Thermoplasmata. RNAcentral also lists the same sequence under 3 other names.
GCCGCCUUGGCUCAGGGGUAGAGCGCUUCCUUGGUAAGGAAGAGGUCCCGGGUUCGAGCCCCGGAGGCGGCU